UAGUUGGAUUUGGGUCGACCGGGCCGCCGGGCCGCCGCCCCCGUGCGGCGAGUUCCCGUGCGUCCCCGGGACCGCACGUUCACCCCCGCGGUGCUCUUGACUGAGUGUCCGCGGUAGCGGGUGACCGAACGUUUACCUUGACAAAACCGGAGUGCUCGAGGCGUGGGCGUUCGCCGCCCGUACGUCCUCGCUGGGAAUAAUGGAAGAGGACCGUUGGUCAAAAAAGGUUUUUCGUCAGAGAGGUUGGAGAGCAAAAAGGAGGUUGUGCUGGCGGGGGGUUUACAAAGGGGGGUAACUCCCUUUCCCCCUCUGGUCUUCCUCUUUCUCCUCCUCGAAACCUUCCUCCCCGCGUACCGCACUGGGGAUCGGUUGGCGCUUUUCGGCGGAAAGGGCGGUUUGAGACAGAAGGGUGAAAGCAGGUGACCGUUUGCCGGAUGGCGAAAGCUGGAAGGCCGGUCUUAUGUGGAAGCCUGGAAUCUUAUUCCCCCUCACUGUCGUGGUGCUUCCGUACCCUCGGUGUCAGCGGGAGGAGGUCGAAAAUCAAAAUAAAUAUGACGUGUCAUGAUUAAGAGGGACGGCCGGGGGCAUUCGUACCGCGGCGCGAGAGGUGAAAUUCUAGGACCGUCGCGAGACGAACGAUAGCGAAAGCAUUUGCCAAGAAUGUUUUCCUUAAUCAAGAACGAAAGUCGGAGGUUCGAAGGCGAUCAGAUACCGCCCUAGUUCCGACCUUAAACCAUGCCGUCCGACCGCCCGCCAGGGUUACUACCGCGACUCGGCGGGCGGUGACUUUCCACCGGGAAACCCUUAAGCUUUCGGGUUCCGGGGGAAGUACGGUCGCAAAGCUGAAACUUAAAGGAAUUGACGGAAGGGCACCACCAGGAGUGGAGCCUGCGGCUUAAUUUGACUCAACACGGGGAACCUCACCCGGCCCGGACACCGCGAGGAUUGACAGAUCGAUAGCUCUUUCUCGAUCCGGUGGGUGGUGGUGCAUGGCCGUUCUUAGUUGGUGGAGCGAUCUGUCUGGUUAAUUCCGAUAACGAACGAGACUCUAGCCGGUUAAGUAGCCCGAGUGGCGUGUUGUUGAUUUAAAAACCGCCCUAGCGGCAUUCGGGGUGCUUUGCGGAAGCUGUCUGGCUUUAACGGUGGUGGGACGGGGAGGUGGAAGAYGACGGUUUUAGCCGCGUGCGUCGCGGCUGGGAUCUAGUUUUUUUAACUUCCCUUUAAUCCUGUCUCGUUUCGGCCUUUCACUUUUGUGGGCCUCUGUUUGCUUAGCUGGGGUAGAUAAAACGCUAACGAGAGUCGGGGGCAGUGGACGUUACUCGUGGAAUGGGUGGGCGCUCCUUAGUGGUGCGUCCCUCUUCCCGGUUUCGCUUUUCUGCUUUCCUCGUCGUCUCGCGCCACCGGCUUUCGAGUGCAAAAGCUUCUUAGAGGGACGAGCGGCGUUCAGCCGCGCGAGAUUGAGCGAUAACAGGUCUGUGAUGCCCUUAGAUGUCCGGGGCCGCACGCGCGCUACACUGAAGGGGUCAACGCGCCAUUACGUUUCCCGGGCCGAAAGGCUCGGGGAACCGGUGGAACCCCGACGUAGCGUUCGUGCUAGGGACAGGGACUUGCAAUUGUGUCCCUCGAACGAGGAAUUCCCAGUAGGCGCGAGUCAUCAGCUCGCGCCGAUUACGUCCCUGCCCUUUGUACACACCGCCCGUCGCUACUACCGAUCGAACGAUUUAGCGAGGUCUUCGGACCGGCGGCCGAAGGUGCGCAAGCGCCGGCGG
Molecule: ribosomal RNA, 1769 nt
Filed under: Epiperipatus biolleyi
Lineage: Eukaryota; Metazoa; Onychophora; Udeonychophora; Euonychophora; Peripatidae
Description: SSU rRNA
Source: RNAcentral